This 531-nucleotide ribosomal RNA is filed under the name Thorsmoerkia curvula. RNAcentral describes it as "partial large subunit ribosomal RNA". It matches the Rfam family "Eukaryotic large subunit ribosomal RNA", at positions 1 to 539 of the family's 3401-position model. The record is from RNAcentral. Lineage: Eukaryota; Viridiplantae; Chlorophyta; Trebouxiophyceae; Ragelichloridaceae.
UCGACCUGAGCUCAGGCAGGACUACUCGCUGAACUUAAGCAUAUCAAUUGGCGAAGGAAAAGAAACUAACCAGGAUUCCCCUAGUAGCGGCGAGCGAACCGGGAAAAGCCCAACUUGAAAAUCUCCGGCUCUCAGCCGGCGAAUUGUAGUCUAUAGAAGCGAUCCCUGUGGCGAUCCGAGCCCAAGUGCCCUGAGAGGGGACGUCAGAGAGGGUGAGAACCCCGUCGGCUCGGCCUUUGUCACUCCACGGGACGUUCUCGCAGAGUCGGGUUGUUUGGGAAUGCAGCCCAAAGCAGGUGGUAAAUCCCAUCUAAGGCUAAAUACUGACGGGAGACCGAUAGCGAACAAGUACCGUGAGGGAAAGAUGAAAAGAACUUUGAAAAGAGAGUUAAAAGUACUUGAAAUUGUUGAGGGGGAAGAGAUUGGAGGCUGCGGGUGCGCCCAGGCUUAUGUGGGUUUGACGACCCUCCGUAUGCGCUGGGUGCUGGUCAGCAUGGGUUGGUCGGGUGGGAUAAAAGUGGCAGUUGUUAU